RNAcentral lists this ribosomal RNA (274 nucleotides) under uncultured bacterium. RNAcentral's name for it is "partial 16S ribosomal RNA". It matches the Rfam family "Bacterial small subunit ribosomal RNA", at positions 523 to 796 of the family's 1533-position model. The record is from RNAcentral.
AUACGUAGGCAGCAAGCGUUGUUCGGAAUUACUGGGCGUAAAGCGAGUGUAGGCGGCCUGCCGUGUCCGUUGUGAAAUCUCCCGGCUUAACUGGGAGGGUGCGGCGGAAACUGGCAGGCUCGAGUACGGAAGAGGAGAGUGGAAUUCCUGGUGUAGCGGUGAAAUGCGUAGAUAUCAGGAGGAACACCGGCGGUGAAGACGGCUCUCUGGACCGUGACUGACGCUGAGACUCGAAAGCGUGGGGAGCAAACAGGAUUAGAUACCCGAGUAGUCC